Molecule: small nuclear RNA, 323 nt
Filed under: Castor canadensis (American beaver)
Lineage: Eukaryota; Metazoa; Chordata; Mammalia; Rodentia; Castoridae
Description: 7SK RNA (ENSCCNG00000013008.1)
Rfam family: 7SK RNA
About the family: 7SK was discovered as an abundant small nuclear RNA in the mid-70s but a possible function has only recently been suggested. Two independent studies have found that 7SK RNA binds the CDK9/cyclin T complex (known as elongation factor P-TEFb).
Source: Rfam by way of RNAcentral
GGAUGUGAGGGCGAUCUGGCUGCGACAUCUGUCACCCCAUUGAUCGCCAGGGUUGAUUCGGCUGAUCUGACUGGCUAGGCGGGUGUCCCCUUCCUCCCUCACCGCUCCAUGUGCGUCCCUACCGAAGCUGCGCGCUCGGUCGAAGAGGACGACCAUCCCCGAUAGAGGAGGACCGUUCUUUGGUCAAGGGUAUACGAGUAGCUGCGCUCCCCUGCUAGAACCUCCAAACAAGCUCUCAAGAUAUGGAAUCAACCAAGAUGUCCACUGAUGUAUGGAUGGAUAAAGAAAAUCUAGUCCACACACACAAGGGGAUACUUUUCUGU